RNAcentral lists this ribosomal RNA (447 nucleotides) under uncultured Anaerolineaceae bacterium. Its description in RNAcentral is "bacterial SSU rRNA". It matches the Rfam family "Bacterial small subunit ribosomal RNA", at positions 920 to 1382 of the family's 1533-position model. Lineage: Bacteria; Bacillati; Chloroflexota; Anaerolineae; Anaerolineales; Anaerolineaceae. The record is from RNAcentral.
CCCGCACAAGCAGCGGAGCGUGUGGUUAAUUCGAUGUUACACGAAGAACCUUACCUGGGUUUGACAUGCUAGUGGUAAUGAAGCGAAAGCUAAGUGACCCGCAAGGGAGCUAGCACAGGUGCUGCAUGGCUGUCGUCAGCUCGUGUCGUGAGAUGUUCGGUUAAGUCCGCUAACGAGCGCAACCCUCGCUGUGUGUUACAAGUGUCACACAGGACCGCCGGUCUUAAGCCGGAGGAAGGUGGGAUGACGUCAAGUCAGCAUGGCCUUUAUGUCCAGGGCUACACACACGCUACAAUGGUCAGCACAAUAGGUAGCCAAGCCGCGAGGUGGAGCCAAUCCCAUAAAACCAUUCGUAGUCCGGAUCGCAGUCUGCAACUCGACUGCGUGAAGUCGGAAUCGCUAGUAAUCGUGGAUCAGAAUGUCACGGUGAAUACGUUCCCGGGUCUU